This 408-nucleotide ribosomal RNA is filed under the name uncultured bacterium. Its description in RNAcentral is "bacterial SSU rRNA". It matches the Rfam family "Bacterial small subunit ribosomal RNA", at positions 354 to 777 of the family's 1533-position model. The record is from RNAcentral.
GUGGGGAAUAUUGGGCAAUGGGGGAAACCCUGACCCAGCAACGCCGCGUGAGGGAAGAAGGUCUUCGGGUUGUAAACCUCUGUCCUUGGGGACGAAGAAGUGACGGUACCCAAGGAGGAAGCUCCGGCUAACUACGUGCCAGCAGCCGCGGUAAUACGUAGGGAGCAAGCGUUGUCCGGAAUUACUGGGCGUAAAGGGUGCGUAGGCGGUUGAUUAAGUCAGAUGUGAAAUACCCGGGCUUAACCUGGGGGGUGCAUCUGAAACUGGUCGACUUGAGUGCAGGAGAGGAAAGCGGAAUUCCUAGUGUAGCGGUGAAAUGCGUAGAUAUUAGGAGGAACACCAGUGGCGAAGGCGGCUUUCUGGACUGUAACUGACGCUGAGGCACGAAAGCGUGGGGAGCAAACAGGA